ACGAACGCUGGCGGCGUGCUUAACACAUGCAAGUCGAACGAUGAAGCCUAGCUUGCUAGGUGGAUUAGUGGCGAACGGGUGAGUAAUACGUGAGUGACCUACCUUUGACUCUGGGAUAAGCCUGGGAAACUGGGUCUAAUACCGGAUACGACCAAUCUCCGCAUGGGGUGUUGGUGGAAAGCGUUAUGGAGUGGUUUUAGAUGGGCUCACGGCCUAUCAGCUUGUUGGUGAGGUAAUGGCUUACCAAGGCGACGACGGGUAGCCGGCCUGAGAGGGUGACCGGCCACACUGGGACUGAGACACGGCCCAGACUCCUACGGGAGGCAGCAGUGGGGAAUAUUGCACAAUGGGCGCAAGCCUGAUGCAGCGACGCCGCGUGAGGGAUGACGGCCUUCGGGUUGUAAACCUCUGUUAGCAUCGAAGAAGCGAAAGUGACGGUAGGUGCAGAGAAAGCGCUGGCUAACUACGUG
This 470-nucleotide ribosomal RNA is filed under the name uncultured bacterium. RNAcentral describes it as "partial 16S ribosomal RNA". It matches the Rfam family "Bacterial small subunit ribosomal RNA", at positions 29 to 507 of the family's 1533-position model. The record is from RNAcentral.